GAUGAAGAACGCAGCGAAAUGCGAUAAGUAGUGUGAAUUGCAGAAUUCAGUGAAUCAUCGAAUCUUUGAACGCACAUUGCGCCCCUUGGUAUUCCAUGGGGCAUGCCUGUUCGAGCGUCAUUUGUACCUUCAAGCCUUGCUUGGUGUUGGGUGUUUGUCUCGCCUCUGCGCGCAGACUCGCCUCAAAACAAUUGGCAGCCGGCGUAUUGAUUUCGGAGCGCAGUACAUCUCGCGCUUUGCACUCAGAACGGCGACGUCCAAAAGUACAUUUUUACACUCUUGACCUCGGAUCAGGUAGGGAUACCCGCUGAACUUAAGCAUAUCAAUAAGCGGAGGA
This 337-nucleotide unclassified non-coding RNA is filed under the name soil metagenome. RNAcentral's name for it is "partial contains 5.8S ribosomal RNA, internal transcribed spacer 2, and large subunit ribosomal RNA". The stretch from base 1 to 120 matches the Rfam family "5.8S ribosomal RNA", at positions 35 to 154 of the family's 154-position model. The record is from RNAcentral.